Stegodyphus dumicola is the source of this 2565-nucleotide unclassified non-coding RNA. NCBI's taxonomy places the organism in Eukaryota, Metazoa, Arthropoda, Arachnida, Araneae, Eresidae. The record is from RefSeq and is a predicted model, not a curated record.
AGUAGCAAGAAGAAAAUUUUAUAUCAGUAAAGAAAAAACAAAAACUUCGACUCGAAAAUCACAAAAUCGAUGAAACAAACGACGUCUGAUUACUGUCCAAAAUUGCUGUUUGCUGAUGAAAGUAAAUUUAGCAAGAUGCAAGUUUAACAUCUUCGGCUGAGAUGAACGAGUGCUGGUUUGGGGAAAACCCAAAGACGAGUUUCGGAAGCAAAACUUAGUACCAAAUGUUAAGCACGGCGGGGAUGUAUCAACAGUAUGAGGAUUUAUGGCACGUUCUGGUGUUGGUAAUAUAGAGUUUAUAGAUGGCCUUAUUUAAUGCUUUAUAGAUGGCCUAAGUAUUUUGACAUCUUGAAGCGAAAAGAAUGUCAGGACUGUUUCCAGUUUGAACAAAAUGGUCACAUGGUACUUAGCUGUAACAUGAGGCGGGAGGCUUUUCAUACGGGGGCCCAGGCACAAGUGGAUCUCAGCCUGAACCUCCAACUCAUUCAAGCUGUAGAAUCACGGGCAGGAAGAAUAGGUCAGAAAAUGGCCUCCAAAGCCGGGGACCAAUGCCAUAGGGCAUAAGAAGUUCUGAUGAAUCAUUUGCAACAUGUCAAUAUUCGCACAAACAACGACCAGAUGGUAUUGCACCAAUAGAAUAGGAGAUAAAUAUAUUUUGUUUGCUACCAUGUAAUUCUUCAAAAACAGCUGCAAAAAUUUUAUUACAAGCUGUGAUGCCACGGUAGAGACAAAUUCCUGUUUGAAAACCAAUAAACGUAACUCUUCUAUCGAUAAAUAAUAACAAACUUUGAGGCAUAAAAUUUGGAAACAUCAUUUGAAUUUAAACAAAGAGUAAAACGGGUGUAUAAUCGAUAAUGGGACAUUAUUUCAGGAAAAAUAAAAUAUCUUCGCUUUUCACUUGCAAAGAAUUUGGUUUAAAACGGAUAAAAUAAUUGCUGUAAUUAUCAGUAAACACCCCUGAAAAUGUUUAUUUAAUGGACUCCGAGCUAAACUAUUGAUUAGAAAUGAAAAGAGGAAUAAUUUAAUUAUUUUCGUUAAAAGCAAUUUUCAGGCACUGAAAUGUAUGAUGAAUGCUUUCUGUAGCAUCGGUUCGUUGUGUAGGUUCGUAUCUGUAGGGCAAGUGCAUCACAGCUUGUUAAAAAAAAGCAGUUUGGAUAAAUGGACCACGUUUCUGUGACAGGAUAUGAUGAAUUAAAAUAUAUUGUCUUGGAAAUAUUUUUGGUGCCAUUUCUUUUUUCCAAGGAAUAAAAGUAACCCGAGCAGACGUUUCUGACCCAAAUCUAGGAUAUACGCAGAGACACUUUUGAUGACUUAAAUUACAGGGUUACCACAAAUGUUUCAUUUUUAAAAAGGCUAUAUUUUCAAAAGUAUUUUACGUACACACAUGAAAGGUAUAUGAAAAUAACCACAAACUCAUAAAGGUUUUUUUUCACUAUUUCACUAAGUUUCUCGGAUAACUGGAAUAUUGCUUCAUCGCUGAAUAUCAUCUUGGUGGCGAAAUCUUCAUCGUCCUCCAAUGCUGUCACAAAAAUCUAGUCCACCGGCGUAAUCCUCCGUCUUUAACUGUUGCAGGAGCUAUACAUGGUACGGCUUGAAAUGCAGUUGCUGGCGCAAAAUCUUCCACCCGGUUUUUGCGGUAUCCGGAACAUCCGAGCCAAUUGACAGAAUGGCCAUCUGGACAACAAUGCUGGACGCCUGGACGUGUGUCGUGCCACCAAAGGGUCACAUACUGAAUAUUUGUACAGGAUGUAUAAACUUGAACAAAGUGCGCCAAUUGUUCACAAAAAGAUACAUGCACCUAACUUUGCUCGUUGGCUGUCUUUAACUUGUGUUGUUUUAUUUUCCAUACCAAUACAGUUGUUUUCAACAUAAUUGUUGUCAAAAAGGUUUUAGAACAUCACCAAUUUUCUUCAGAAAAUUACCUGCACCAACUUUUCAAAUUUGUUGUUCGUUUUACUGUGUGGACUCAAAAAAGUGUUCGAUCAAAGAAUUCCUGAUGAUUGGCAUGUCGAGAAAGAUGUUGGGUUUUCUGCUUCUCAUAAGCAAUUUCACUACUAUUUUGGGCGAAAGUGCUAUCCAAGAGACCCGUUGGUUUGCAUGUCCCGCACAAUUUGGUCUGUUCGCCAACCCCAUGAAUCCAAGAAACUUCUUCGUCUGCGACAGGGGUCUAGCGUACGACACGCCGUGUCCUUAUUACCGCCCAAACUUCAAUGCCGAACUGAAGAUAUGCAUGGUCUUGCCGACACCAAACUUGCAUGGAAAAGAAAGAAAUGCACAGCCUCUUGAUAUUGAAAAAUAAAUGAAAAUUCGGUGGCAUCCACCAAGAUUUGUCGGCUCGUAAUGGACAAUUCUGCUGUCUGGGCGAAGCUAUUUAUGUGCCUGUGUUGGUGUACUUCUGCUGUUGCCGGUGGAUACAAAAGACUGUGGAAAACCAAACCACUAGUCGUAAAUCGUAGAUUUCAAUUUUAAUCUAAAUUUUAAUGUUGUAUAACGAUGGGACCUUGUCAUUUUAUGCUGAAUCGAAAUUUGUGUAACUUUUAUGAAAUAAAUGUGUACUAUUUCCCA